AUUGAACGCUGGCGGCAUGCUUUACACAUGCAAGUCGAACGGCAGCACGAAAGAGCUUGCUCUUUUGGUGGCGAGUGGCGAACGGGUGAGUAAGAUAUUGGAACGUACCGAGUAAUGGGGGAUAACUAUCCGAAAGGAUAGCUAAUACCGCAUACGCUUUGAGAAGGAAAGUGGGGGAUCUUCGGACCUCACGUUAUUCGAGCGGCCAAUAACUGAUUAGCUAGUUGGAGGGGUAAAGGCCCACCAAGGCGACGAUCAGUAGCGGGUCUGAGAGGAUGAUCCGCCACACUGGGACUGAGACACGGCCCAGACUCCUACGGGAGGCAGCAGUGGGGAAUUUUGGACAAUGGGCGCAAGCCUGAUCCAGCCAUGCCGCGUGUCUGAAGAAGGCCUUCGGGUUGUAAAGGACUUUUGUUAGGGAAGAAAAGGAGUAUGUUAAUACCAUACUCUGCUG
RNAcentral lists this ribosomal RNA (454 nucleotides) under Kingella sp. oral taxon C21. RNAcentral's name for it is "bacterial SSU rRNA". It matches the Rfam family "Bacterial small subunit ribosomal RNA", at positions 30 to 474 of the family's 1533-position model. The record is from RNAcentral. Lineage: Bacteria; Pseudomonadati; Pseudomonadota; Betaproteobacteria; Neisseriales; Neisseriaceae.